This 598-nucleotide long non-coding RNA is filed under the name Hordeum vulgare. Its description in RNAcentral is "long non-coding RNA (HVUL_LNC000753)". The record is from RNAcentral. Lineage: Eukaryota; Viridiplantae; Streptophyta; Magnoliopsida; Poales; Poaceae.
GAUUCUUGAUCGCAUCUAAGUCCCCGAGUGUGACGUGAAGUGCACACUCGAAGAAAGUUAAUACUUAGGCGAUUUCUUGAUCGCAGCUAAGUUCCCGAGUGCGACGUUUAGUGCACACUCGAAGAAAGUUACUAGUUAGGCGAUUCUUGAUCGCAGCUAAGUCCCCGAGUGCGACGUUUAGUGCACAGUCGGAGAAGUUAUUACUUAGGUGACUCUUGAUCACAGCUAAGUCCCGGGGUGCGACGUUUAGUGCACACUCGGAGAAAGUUAUUCCGUAGGUGAUUCUUGAUCACAGCUAAGUCCCCGAGUGCGACGUUUAGUGCACACUCGGAGAAAGUUAUUACUUAGGUGAUUCUUGAUCACAGCUAAGUCUCUGAGUGCGACGUUUAGUGCACACUCGGAGAAAGUUAUUACUUAGGUGAUUCUUGAUCACGGCUAAGUCUCCGAGUGCGAAGUUUAGUGCACACUCGGAGAAAGAUAUUCCUUAGGUGAUUCUUGAUCAUAGCUAAGUCCCCGAGUGCGACGUUUAGUGCACACUCGGAGAAAGUUAUUCCUUAGGUGAUUCUUUAUCACAGCUAAGUUCUCGAGUGCGACGUUN